RNAcentral lists this ribosomal RNA (610 nucleotides) under uncultured bacterium. Its description in RNAcentral is "bacterial SSU rRNA". The stretch from base 1 to 533 matches the Rfam family "Bacterial small subunit ribosomal RNA", at positions 338 to 873 of the family's 1533-position model. The record is from RNAcentral.
CCUACGGGAGGCAGCAGUAAGGAAUAUUGGACAAUGGGCGAGAGCCUGAUCCAGCCAUGCCGCGUGCAGGAAGAAGGACCUAUGGUUUGUAAACUGCUUUUGAAUGGGAGAAAACCUGGGUACGUGUACCCAGCUGAUAGUACCAUUAGAAUAAGCAUCGGCUAACUUCGUGCCAGCAGCCGCGGUAAGACGAAGGAUGCAAGCGUUAUCCGGAUUCAUUGGGUUUAAAGGGAGCGUAGGCGGAUAGAUAAGUCAGUGGUGAAAUCUCUGGGCUUAACCCAGAAACUGCCAUUGAUACUGUUUAUCUAGAGUACAUUUGCUGUGGGCGGAAUAUGACAUGUAGUGGUGAAAUACUUAGAUAUGUCAUAGAACACCGAUUGCGAAGGCAGCUCACAAAAAUGUAACUGACGCUGAGGCUCGAAAGUGCGGGGAUCAAACAGGAUUAGAUACCCUGGUAGUCCGCACUGUAAACGAUGAUUACUCGCUGCUUGGAGGCAACUCUGNGUGNGUAGCGAAGAGANAAGUAAUACACCGUGGAGGUACGCCGGCGACGAGAACGACAANAGAGUUAGAGGCGNGAGAGNGCGACGGACGACGACGAGGGAGGAGG